CCUACGGGUGGCAGCAGUGAGGAAUAUUGGUCAAUGGACGAGAGUCUGAACCAGCCAAGUAGCGUGAAGGAUGACUGCCCUAUGGGUUGUAAACGUCUUUUAUAGGGGAAUAAAAUGGUCCACGGGUGGGAUUUCGUAUGUACCAUAUGAAUAAGGAUCGGCUAACUCCGUGCCAGCAGCCGCGGUAAUACGGAGGAUACGAGCGUUACCCGGAUUUAUUGGGUUUAAAGGGAGCGUAGGUGGUGUGGUUAGUCAGUUGUGGAAGUUUGCGGCUGAACCGUACAAUGGCAGUUGAUAAUGGCAGUCUUGAGUACAGUAGAGGUAGGCGGAAUUCGAUGUGUAGCGGUGAAAUGCUUAGAUAUCACGAAGAACUCCGAAUGCGAAGGCAGUUCACUGGACUGCAACUGACACUGAGGCUCGAAAGUGUGGGUAUCAAACAGGAUUAGAUACCCGAGUAGUC
Molecule: ribosomal RNA, 460 nt
Filed under: uncultured bacterium
Lineage: Bacteria
Description: partial 16S ribosomal RNA
Rfam family: Bacterial small subunit ribosomal RNA
Source: RNAcentral